UGCGACCCUAGGUCAGGUGGGACUACCCGCUGAGUUUA
This 38-nucleotide ribosomal RNA is filed under the name Quercus suber. Its description in RNAcentral is "partial 26S ribosomal RNA". Lineage: Eukaryota; Viridiplantae; Streptophyta; Magnoliopsida; Fagales; Fagaceae. The record is from RNAcentral.